AGCAACAGCUGAGCUGAGCCUAAGAAAAUAAGCCAAAGAUGCCCAGGUGGUAACGUGGCUUACAGGGAAGUGAAUAGCACCAGCACAGUGUUGAGGCAAUGUUAUUCUUUCCACAAGACAGACGGUGAGAGAGUGACAGCUGAGGAAUGCAGCAGAGCAGAUUGGCCUGCAGAGGCGGCCAGUGCUGUUUAGCAUGUGGCUCAUUUUCAGGUACUGGAUGGAUGAUUCUCUCAAUGCUGAAGCUGCCUGGGUGUUAGGGGCUGAACUGUGUGAACCUCAAAUUUGCUUGUUGAAGGCCUAACCCCCAGUACUUCAGAAUGCAACUACAUGUGGAGAUAGAAUUUUUAAAGAGGUAAUUAAGUUAAAAGAUGGUCAUUAGGGUGGGCCUCAACUCAGUAUCACUGCUGUCCUUAUAAGAAGAGAAGAUUGGGACACAGACAGGCACAGAAGAAAGACCACAUGAAGACACGGGGAGAAGGUGGCCAUUGACAAGCCAAGGAGAAAGGCCUCAGCAGACACCAACACUGCUGGCACCUUGAUCUUGGGCUUACAGCCUCCAGAACUGUGAGGCAAUUAAUUUCUCUUGUUUAAGCCCCCCAGUCUGUGAGACUUUCUUACAGCAGCCCAAGUAGACUGAGUUUGUCUGUCCUAACCAGCCAUGCAGGUAUGAAAUAUUUCCUGAGCAUCUACUUGAUGCCAAGCCUGAGCUGAGCACCAGUGAGGAAGACUAGCAAGGUCCUUUGCCUCCAGGAGCUUAUGUUCUAGUCAGAGAGAAAGACAAGAAAGAAGGAGAACUAUUGAAUAGCAGGAUAAUUUCAGAUGGCUGCAGUGCCUGAGAAGUAGGAGAAAGAGGAUGAUGCAAUGGAGAAAGACGUGGAGAGGGAGCUGCCACAGCCGGGAGCAUCAGGCAAGGCCUUAAUGAGGAGAAGGCUGUUGAUCUGAGAGCUAGGGUACAAGAUGGAUUCACCAGGUGCAGAUCCACCGGCACAGAGUUCCCGGGAGACAGAAGAGCCCUUCAACGAGCAAUGAUCCUGGCCAUACUGCCCCUGCAAAGACUCCGCUCUGUGAAGCUUCAAAAGUACCCUAAAAAUUCUGCAGUGGAAAGAGACCUGGCCCAGAGUCAGAAAGCAAGAUUGCAAGGUCAAGUAUGGCCACUGAGAACUGUGUGAUUGCAUCUGUAAAGCAGGAUAUUGACAAACAAAGGCCCUUGAAGAUAUUUAUAUCUGAUGUGCACUACUGCCCAUCUCUUUCUAACUUCCUGUUCAGUGACAUGACAUUGGAGGCUUGAAAUCAGCCACAUUGCCUUUGAUAUGGAGGAAGACCAUUGUCUUUACUACUGAUGCCUCCAAAGAAGAUACAACCAUUGUCUAUUCUCUCCAUGUUCUUUGUGCAUCAAAGACGCAAUCUGAAAUGGAAACCACGAAGCCAAGGUAGCAAGAAACAGCAUGGUGUAACGGAAGGAGCACUGGUCCAGAGUCAGGAGACCUGGCUUCCAGUAUGUGCUGCACCUGUCUCACUGAUGGGCAUCACACAGCAUCCCUUCUGUUCUCUGGGCCUCAGUUUCCUCAUUUGCUAAGAAAGCAAUCUGGCUCAAAAUUUCUGAAGACUUAUUCGAUUUGGACAAACUGGCUUAAAGACCCACGACGAUGCAAAAGACUUUUCCCAUCCAAAAUUAAAAUUAAAAUUAAGCCUUUACAUGCAAUUUUUGGCUAACUCGUAAAAUUCACAUAAAUGUAUUACCAUCCAAGUGUUACAAGACUUCCGUAACUACCAUUGUUAUGGACACAAAACAAUAUACUCUCUGAGCUGGAUGAAUCAAGAUUUUAUUAAUCAGUCCCUAAUUGUCACACAUUUUGUUUUUUAGAAGAUAUUUUGGGGAGUCAACUGAGCUCAAAAGAAAAUCCCCCUUCAAUGAGAGCUUUCUCAUCCCCACCAUCCAUAAGGAAGAGUCCUCUGGCAUUCCUUGCUUUUGCCAAGUAACCAGAACUUCCUGACUACAGUUGAUUGGUCCAGGGAUGAACCCCAACUUUAAAUGUGUCAAUCAGAUCAUCUCUUCUUCUAAUAGGAAUUGGAUCAUGUGCCAAUAUGUGAAUUUGACACCUAACUACAGUUUGGAAUACAUUGCUGCUGAUCAUUGGGACCUGUUGAAGGUACUCUUUUAGAUAAGUUAUUCCGACGUGGUUGCAAGGAUGGAUUGAGGAAGCAAGGCAGAAGAAGCAAAAAGUAGACUGCUUUUCCUACCACAGGAGUUGAUGGGCCAGGCCAGAACCAAACCAAUACAGCACAGUUAAAGGAAAUACAAUCAAGAGCUCUCUUAGAUCCCAUGCACACACGAGAAGCCUGUGAUGAUUCUCACCUGGCCAGCUGGGCAGUGACCUGCUUUCAAGGAGAAAGCAGUUGCUGAAGGAGGAGAUGCUGCCACCACCUCCCCAGUAGCAUCCUAUGAUCCAGCCUUGUUUUCACUGACCUACAGUUGUCUCUCCUGCUUCCAUUCCUUAGAAUAUGCUGUUCCUUCUAGCUUUCCUUUUUGUCUGCCUAGGGAAUUCCUACAUGUCUGUCACACCAAAAUUUCAGCACUAGACUUCUGGAAAGCUUUCUUUCAUCUCCCUGCCCACUGAACCCUCCCCACAAGGCCUCCCAAUUUUACUUUAGUCUGAGUACCUGCCCACCUCCCUGACAUGGCUGUGAGGCCCUGAGGGGAGAAUUAGUGCCCACUCAUCUUAGAAUCCCAAUCACCCAGCAGAUGGGCUGGUGGCCCAUGUUCUAAAUAACCACCGAUUAGUCACUAUCUGCCCGCCUGAGUGCCUGCAUCACACCGUGUGGGAGAGGGAGUGGAAGCUGGGACUCUGCAAAGAGACAUCCUUUCCUACCCCAUGAGCUGACUGGCCGUGUGGGUCUUUCCAGAAGACAGAAAGUCUCAAGGCAAUAAACCCUCUCCCCAGAAUGGAAGGCUGGGGGUAGGCUAGAUAAAUGCAGUUUUACAGGA
This is a long non-coding RNA of Symphalangus syndactylus (siamang), 2986 nucleotides long. RefSeq lists it as uncharacterized. NCBI's taxonomy places the organism in Eukaryota, Metazoa, Chordata, Mammalia, Primates, Hylobatidae. The record is from RefSeq and is a predicted model, not a curated record.